UACGUAGGGUGCGAGCGUUGUCCGGAAUUACUGGGCGUAAAGAGCUCGUAGGUGGUUUGUCGCGUUGUUCGUGAAAACCGGGGGCUUAACCCUCGGCGUGCGGGCGAUACGGGCAGACUGGAGUACUGCAGGGGAGACUGGAAUUCCUGGUGUAGCGGUGGAAUGCGCAGAUAUCAGGAAGAACACCCGUGGCUAAGGCGGCUCUCUAGUACGGUACUGACGCUGAGACGCGAAAGCGUGGGGAGCGAACAGG
This 253-nucleotide ribosomal RNA is filed under the name uncultured bacterium. RNAcentral describes it as "partial 16S ribosomal RNA". It matches the Rfam family "Bacterial small subunit ribosomal RNA", at positions 524 to 776 of the family's 1533-position model. The record is from RNAcentral.